CCUACGGGAGGCAGCAGUCGAGAAUCAUUCACAAUGGGGGAAACCCUGAUGGUGCGACGCCGCGUGGGGGAAUGAAGGUCUUCGGAUUGUAAACCCCUGUCAUGUGGGAGCAAAUUGAAAAGAUAGUACCACAAGAGGAAGAGACGGCUAACUCUGUGCCAGCAGCCGCGGUAAUACAGAGGUCUCAAGCGUUGUUCGGAAUCACUGGGCGUAAAGCGUGCGUAGGCUGUUUCGUAAGUCGUGUGUGAAAGGCGCGGGCUCAACCCGCGGACGGCACAUGAUACUGCGAGACUAGAGUAAGGGAGGGGGAACCGGAAUUCUCGGUGUAGCAGUGAAAUGCGUAGAUAUCGAGAGGAACACUCGUGGCGAAGGCGGGUUCCUGGACAUUAACUGACGCUGAGGCACGAAGGCCAGGGGAGCGAAAGGGAUUAGAUACCCCUGUAGUC
RNAcentral lists this ribosomal RNA (446 nucleotides) under uncultured bacterium. RNAcentral's name for it is "partial 16S ribosomal RNA". It matches the Rfam family "Bacterial small subunit ribosomal RNA", at positions 338 to 795 of the family's 1533-position model. The record is from RNAcentral.